CCUCCCAUGCCACGCAUUUCUA
This 22-nucleotide microRNA is filed under the name Prunus persica (peach). RNAcentral describes it as "ppe-miR482d-3p". Its record names the gene ppe-miR482d-3p. Lineage: Eukaryota; Viridiplantae; Streptophyta; Magnoliopsida; Rosales; Rosaceae. The record is from miRBase by way of RNAcentral.